This is a non-coding RNA of Ictidomys tridecemlineatus (thirteen-lined ground squirrel), 72 nucleotides long. Lineage: Eukaryota; Metazoa; Chordata; Mammalia; Rodentia; Sciuridae. The record is from Rfam.
GGGGGUGUAGCUCCGCGGUAGAGCACUCGCUUAGCACAUGGGAGACCCUGGGUUCGAUCCUCAGCACCACAU